This 103-nucleotide small nucleolar RNA is filed under the name Sciurus vulgaris (Eurasian red squirrel). RNAcentral describes it as "Small nucleolar RNA U13 (ENSSVLG00005015272.1)". It matches the Rfam family "Small nucleolar RNA U13". The record is from Rfam by way of RNAcentral. Lineage: Eukaryota; Metazoa; Chordata; Mammalia; Rodentia; Sciuridae.
AUCCUAUUAUAUUUCAUAAGCAUGAUUGGGUUUAUGCACCAUUGUGUGAGAUGUGCCUCCCUCAAAUCUUUUUUUAUAAUAUCAGCACAUGUCCCAUCUGAAG